CCUCGGCCUAGCCCGCGAGCGCUUGUCGGUUGUAACAGACAAGGUCAGCAGACCCGGUGCGAUUCCGGGGCCGACGG
This 77-nucleotide transfer RNA is filed under the name Stutzerimonas stutzeri. RNAcentral describes it as "Pseudomonas stutzeri tRNA-???(gt)". The record is from RNAcentral. Lineage: Bacteria; Pseudomonadati; Pseudomonadota; Gammaproteobacteria; Pseudomonadales; Pseudomonadaceae.